This is a long non-coding RNA of Lonchura striata (white-rumped munia), 297 nucleotides long. RefSeq lists it as uncharacterized. The record is from RefSeq and is a predicted model, not a curated record. Lineage: Eukaryota; Metazoa; Chordata; Aves; Passeriformes; Estrildidae.
UGAGCCGGCUGCCGAGGCUGCCUGGGGAAGGGAGGCUGCGGGGUGUGGACUAAACCACUGCGCUCCACACCCACGCGUCCCUCUCUCUCUCCUCCCGGGGUAGGGAGAUGGGGACGGCGAUGCCAGCAGGCGGCCGCAGGGCUGGGAAGCAGGAUCGCUGCCUCCCCUCUACAGUUGGGUGUAGGCGCUCGGGAGUGAGUGAGACCCUUGAAAGGAUAUUCCCCAGGGAUUUCUCUGCUGGCCCGCUCUGUGGAAAAGGAAGAGAACGUGGCAAAUAAAAUAAAACACAAAACAAAA